GAUGAAGAACGCAGCGAAAUGCGAUAAGUAAUGCGAAUUGCAGAAUUCCAGUGAGUCAUCGAAUCUUUGAACGCACAUUGCGCCCUUUGGUAUUCCGAAGGCCAUGCCUGUUCGAGCGUCAUUAUCACCCCUCAAGCCCUCGGCUUGGUGUUGGACGGUUUGGUGGAGGCCCCCUCGGGGGUUCCUGCCCCUCCCAAAGACAAUGACGGCGGCCUCGUUGGACCCCCGGUACACUGAGUUCUUCACGGGACACGUAUCGGACACAUGGGUUUACGGGACACGGUCUGCCUCCCCUCAGGGAGAAUCUUUCUAAGGUUGACCUCGGAUCAGGUAGGGAUACCCGCUGAACUUAAGCAUAUCAAUAAGCGGAGGA
Molecule: unclassified non-coding RNA, 373 nt
Filed under: soil metagenome
Description: partial contains 5.8S ribosomal RNA, internal transcribed spacer 2, and large subunit ribosomal RNA
Rfam family: 5.8S ribosomal RNA (bases 1-121)
Source: RNAcentral